RNAcentral lists this small RNA (60 nucleotides) under Caenorhabditis elegans. RNAcentral's name for it is "Unclassified non-coding RNA F35C12.6". Lineage: Eukaryota; Metazoa; Nematoda; Chromadorea; Rhabditida; Rhabditidae. The record is from RNAcentral.
AAAAAGAGAAGAAAAGAGACGAAAAGAAGAAGCCGUCGUUUAAAAGUUUGGACACAUCGG